Molecule: long non-coding RNA, 204 nt
Filed under: Nicotiana benthamiana
Lineage: Eukaryota; Viridiplantae; Streptophyta; Magnoliopsida; Solanales; Solanaceae
Description: long non-coding RNA (NBEN_LNC000143)
Source: RNAcentral
CCACAAUCUGUUGUUGUCCCUUCUCCAUGGGUGUGACUGGUUUAGAUGGAGUAAUCUGAUUAAGAGCAACAAUAGGCGAUGAAGUUGCACUUCGAUUAGCAUCUAUAGUUGCACCAGGUUUUGAAAUGUUUUUUGGAAAAUAUAUCGGUGCAUUAUGGUUCAGUGUGGUCCUUCUGUUUGCACAUGUUGGCAAAUUGGCAGAGU